GCUACAUCAUCCUCAUCCUCACCUGUGAGGAAACGUUCAUCACCUGCCCCUGUGACUGCUACAUCAUCCUCGUCCUCAUCCUCACCUGUUAAACAGCAUUCAUCAAGAAAAAGACGGGUAUUCCAGUCAUCUGAUGCACCCUGUGCUAUGUGUACCUCUGUAAAGGCAUCACCACCCUCUCGCCCUUCUCCACUCCCCUCAUCAUCAUCAUCAUCAGCUGCCCCUGUGAUUGGCACAUCAUCUUCAUCCUCCCCAUCAUCACCUGCCCCUUUGCCCUGUGAUGCAUCCACUUCUGUGAUCUCUCCAUCACAGGUGUCCCAGACACUCUCAAUAAGGGAG
Long non-coding RNA from Cyprinus carpio carpio, 339 nucleotides. The record is from Ensembl. NCBI's taxonomy places the organism in Eukaryota, Metazoa, Chordata, Actinopteri, Cypriniformes, Cyprinidae.